RNAcentral lists this unclassified non-coding RNA (211 nucleotides) under Hevea brasiliensis (rubber tree). Lineage: Eukaryota; Viridiplantae; Streptophyta; Magnoliopsida; Malpighiales; Euphorbiaceae. The record is from RNAcentral.
UGCAACUUUCCUCACUCUCCUAGGCGGAGGGCGAGUAAGUUUACUAGUGAUAUAUAGCAUUUCAGUGUCAGAGAAAUGGUGAGAUUCGCCAUUGCCCAUGGGGUAAAGGGGUUUGAAAUUGUCAUGUAUGGUACUUGAAAAUUUUGCAGCAUUUUUCAAUGCUAGCACAUUGUCAUCUACGUGCUAUUAUCUGUAUGUUGUUCAAGUUUUU